GACGAACGCUGGCGGCGUGCUUAACACAUGCAAGUCGAACGGAAAGGCCCUGCUUUUGUGGGGUGCUCGAGUGGCGAACGGGUGAGUAACACGUGAGUAACCUGCCCUUGACUUUGGGAUAACUUCAGGAAACUGGGGCUAAUACCGGAUAGGAGCUCCUGCUGCAUGGUGGGGGUUGGAAAGUUUCGGCGGUUGGGGAUGGACUCGCGGCUUAUCAGCUUGUUGGUGGGGUAGUGGCUUACCAAGGCUUUGACGGGUAGCCGGCCUGAGAGGGUGACCGGCCACAUUGGGACUGAGAUACGGCCCAGACUCCUGCGGGAGGCAGCAGUGGGGAAUAUUGCACAAUGGGCGGAAGCCUGAAGCAGGAACGCCGCGUGCGGGAUGACGGCCUUCGGGUUGUAAACCGCUUUCGCCUGUGACGAAGAGUGAGUGACGGUAAUGGGUAAAGAAGCACCGGCUAACUACGUG
Molecule: ribosomal RNA, 468 nt
Filed under: uncultured bacterium
Lineage: Bacteria
Description: partial 16S ribosomal RNA
Rfam family: Bacterial small subunit ribosomal RNA
Source: RNAcentral